Molecule: long non-coding RNA, 749 nt
Organism: Argiope bruennichi
Lineage: Eukaryota; Metazoa; Arthropoda; Arachnida; Araneae; Araneidae
Exons: 4
Source: RefSeq, a predicted model, not a curated record
CUUCGUCUGAAUCCAGAUACUUCAUGUAACAGUUUACUUUAGUAAUUACGUCAAACGAGCAAUAGUUUUGUGUAUAUUUUUGAAUGAAGAUGUUGCUGGGUAACUCAAAGCUGUUUUCUAGUAUUCAUUUGAGAUUUAAAAGAUCGCUGUCAAAAUCUACUUCGUUCUUACAGCAGCACAAAUAGAUCAAUGAAGUUAAACUACUUCCCGCAUUGACAAAAGCUGUUGGGGUAAUAUUAGAGAGCUGAGUCAACUUGGGAUGUCCAAUGUGCCUUCGCUGCAUUUCUUUAAUUCUGGUCUUAAUUCCUUUCACUAAGUCAAACACAUCAUCUGACAUAUUCAAAUCUGUUUGGAGGCCAAGUCCUAAAACGUCUUGUAUCUAAGAUUGGAUUGAUUCACCCGAUAUUUGGACAUGGUACGUUUCUGUUUCCAGUGAUGUCUUUGUUUUGUCUCUGUCAGUUAGAAGGCAGGUUAUAGCAAACUAUUGAUAUGUUCGAAUGGAAUGUUUUGCUUAUAUUUUACCCUUUAGAAGACAUGGAAAGUAAUAUUUGGAUUUUUGCGCUAUUGGAAGUUCAUGGGCAGUUUAUACCAUUUCAACUGAUAUUUAAAGUGCUUAAAAAGUGAUAUUUCUUUAUUAUUCAGAAAGUGCUUAGUUUCCUAGGAGGAAUAUAAGUACAUCAUUGAUCAUAUUAUAUACGCAAAAGUGCUUUUCUCGAAAAACUUUAUUUGAAAUAUUUUUUUUAUCGAUU